GACGAACGCUGGCGGCGUGCCUAAUACAUGCAAGUAGAACGCUGAAGGAAGGAGCUUGCUCUUUCUGGAUGAGUUGCGAACGGGUGAGUAACGCGUAGGUAACCUGCCUGGUAGCGGGGGAUAACUAUUGGAAACGAUAGCUAAUACCGCAUAAAAUUGAUUAUUGCAUGAUAGUCAAUUAAAAGGUGCAACUGCACCACUACCAGAUGGACCUGCGUUGUAUUAGCUAGUUGGUGAGGUAACGGCUCACCAAGGCGACGAUACAUAGCCGACCUGAGAGGGUGAUCGGCCACACUGGGACUGAGACACGGCCCAGACUCCUACGGGAGGCAGCAGUAGGGAAUCUUCGGCAAUGGACGGAAGUCUGACCGAGCAACGCCGCGUGAGUGAAGAAGGUUUUCGGAUCGUAAAGCUCUGUUGUAAGAGAAGAACGAGUGUGAGAGUGGAAAGUUCACACUGUGACGGUAUCUUACCAGAAAGAGACGGCUAACUACGUG
RNAcentral lists this ribosomal RNA (497 nucleotides) under uncultured bacterium. RNAcentral describes it as "partial 16S ribosomal RNA". It matches the Rfam family "Bacterial small subunit ribosomal RNA", at positions 28 to 507 of the family's 1533-position model. The record is from RNAcentral.